CUAGUAACGGCGAGUGAAGCGGGAAGAGCUCAAAUUUGAAAUCUGGCAGUCUUCGAUUGUCCGAGUUGUAAUCUAUAGAGGCGUUUUCCGUGCCGGACCGUGUCCAAGUCUCCUGGAAAGGAGUAUCAAAGAGGGUGAUAAUCCCGUACUUAACACGACCACCGGUGCUCUGUGAUACGUCUUCUCCGAGUCGAGUUGUUUGGGAAUGCAGCUCAAAAUGGGUGGUGAAUUCCAUCUAAAGCUAAAUAUUGGCGAGAGACCGAUAGCGAACAAGUACCGUGAGGGAAAGAUGAAAAGCACUUUGGAAAGAGAGUUAAACAGUACGUGAAAUUGUUGAAAGGGAAACGAUUGAAGUCAGUCGUGUUCUUUGGAUUCAGCCAGUUCUGCUGGUCUACUUCCUUGGAACGGGUCAACAUCAGUUCUGUCCGGUGGAUAAAGGUAGUAGGAAUGUGACUUCUCCGGAAGUGUUAUAGCCUAUUAUCACAUACACUGGGUGAGACUGAGGACUGCAGCUCGCUUUAUGACCGGCUUCGGGC
Molecule: ribosomal RNA, 536 nt
Filed under: Trichosporon asahii
Lineage: Eukaryota; Fungi; Basidiomycota; Tremellomycetes; Trichosporonales; Trichosporonaceae
Description: partial large subunit ribosomal RNA
Rfam family: Eukaryotic large subunit ribosomal RNA
Source: RNAcentral